GGGGAAUAUUGCACAAUGGGCGCAAGCCUGAUGCAGCCAUGCCGCGUGUGUGAAGAAGGCCUUCGGGUUGUAAAGCACUUUCAGCGAGGAGGAAGGGUAGUGUGUUAAUAGCACAUUGCAUUGACGUUACUCGCAGAGGAAGCACCGGCUAACUCCGUGCCAGCAGCCGCGGUAAUACGGAGGGUGCAAGCGUUAAUCGGAAUUACUGGGCGUAAAGCGCACGCAGGCGGUUUGUUAAGUCAGAUGUGAAAUCCCCGCGCUUAACGUGGGAACUGCAUUUGAAACUGGCAAGCUAGAGUCUUGUAGAGGGGGGUAGAAUUCCAGGUGUAGCGGUGAAAUGCGUAGAGAUCUGGAGGAAUACCGGUGGCGAAGGCGGCCCCCUGGACAAAGACUGACGCUCAGGUGCGAAACGCGUGGGGAGCAAACAGGAUUAGAGUACCCA
RNAcentral lists this ribosomal RNA (442 nucleotides) under uncultured bacterium. Its description in RNAcentral is "partial 16S ribosomal RNA". It matches the Rfam family "Bacterial small subunit ribosomal RNA", at positions 356 to 788 of the family's 1533-position model. The record is from RNAcentral.